UUUCAAUUCAAGUGCAUAAUCCUAGCUACAGUAGCUGCUGUAGAACAAUCAGCUCUGGCCACUGUUUAUCUGUAGUGAGUCUAGGCUGUCAAUCCCCUGUUUAUUUCAGCUGUCUAUAUGUAUCCAUGUCUAUUUGCUUUGGAAGAGGCUGAAGACCUUUGUGAAAGGAGUCCAAAAAGAGUCGACGAGACAGCAAUGCUAAAUUCUGUCCUAUGGCAGUAUUUCUGAGGUAAGCAAAUCCCAAAAAGUUUCCUAUUGACACUUACCAGCCAGUGGACACUCUUUCAAUGAUGAGGAUGUACACAUCCUGAAUGGGGAGGAAAGCUGGUUUGAGCACGAAGUCAUGAGGCCAUUUACGUGAAAAGGGAAAGACCAUCUCUGAAUCGAGGAGGGGGCCUAAAGGUACAUCUAUUACCAUCUUACAAUGCUGUGAUUAAAGCCAUUCCCCAACUCUCUGUGAAUGGUACUUCUGGCCACUGAUCAAUGGUUGUUGAUCAUUCGUCAUGAGAAUUUGCAUAUUAAUGAUCAAGGAACUGACCUCACAGCCCAUUGUUCAUUCAGUGGGCUGGUUUCAGUCACUGUAGAAAUCUACUGUUUAUAAGUUUGGGGAAACCUGCAGUCAGCUGAGACUGAAGAAGUCACUUGGAUGAGUGACGAAACGUUUCUCCCACUGAAAACUCUACGUCCAGAUGAACAGAAUCAACCUUUUGGGGAAAAUGUGAAAUGUUUGAGGAGAAAAUUAUAUAAACUGUGUAUUUAAACAAUCAUGUACUAUUGGAUUGUAAGUUUAUUCAGUUUUUUAUUCAUUUAUUUUUUAUUUUCUCUCUUUUCCACGUGAUGUUACUCAUUUGUUCAAAGGGGUCACUUCCUUGAUGUUUGACUAAACUAAUGGUUUUGUGAUUACCCAGACCUGAUGUGUGCUCACACAAACACACAGUUUUCACUUUGAUUUUUAGUUUGGACAAAAAUGUCUAAAACUGGCCCGUGAAUAUAUAAACACACACACACAGACACACAGAGCCACAGCUAUGAAGAGUUUAGCUUACUAAUUUGAGUGACAGAAAACCCCAGUUAGGACCCUGCUGGGCAGAGAGAUAGGAGCUCAUCAGACUUAUCUCCCCCUCCCACAUCACCCACUGCAGACCCCUAGUUUCAACAUAAAUACAAAAACUUAAAACACCGCUUAUAUAUUUAUGGAGUCUAAUCUAAGUGAGCCAUCACUUAGCAUCGGGUAAACUGCACUUAACCUUCAUGAAUCCAUAAGAGCUGUGUCAGUGGUUAACACCAAACUGGUGUAAUGAGGAGUUUAAUAUGCACAAAACUAACUGUUACAAAGUGACACCAUGUUUUUUAAGAGGAAAUUCAGCAGGUUUAUGGGGCCAAAUAUAGCUGUUAUCAGC
Long non-coding RNA from Astatotilapia calliptera (eastern happy), 1400 nucleotides. NCBI's taxonomy places the organism in Eukaryota, Metazoa, Chordata, Actinopteri, Cichliformes, Cichlidae. The record is from Ensembl.